This 423-nucleotide ribosomal RNA is filed under the name uncultured bacterium. RNAcentral describes it as "bacterial SSU rRNA". It matches the Rfam family "Bacterial small subunit ribosomal RNA", at positions 355 to 774 of the family's 1533-position model. The record is from RNAcentral.
UGAGGAAUAUUGGUCAAUGGGCGCGAGCCUGAACCAGCCAAGUAGCGUGAAGGAUGAAGGUCCUAUGGAUUGUAAACUUCUUUUAUAGCAGAAUAAAGUGACCCACGUGUGGGUUUUUGUAUGUAUGCUAUGAAUAAGGAUCGGCUAACUCCGUGCCAGCAGCCGCGGUAAUACGGAGGAUCCGAGCGUUAUCCGGAUUUAUUGGGUUUAAAGGGUGCGUAGGCGGAAAGAUAAGUCAGCCUGUGAAAGUUUGCGGCUCAACCGUAAAAUUGCAGUUGUUACUGUUUUUCUUGAGUGUACAUAAGGUAGGCGGAAUUCGUGGUGUAGCGGUGAAAUGCUUAGAUAUCACGAAGAACUCCGAUUGCGAAGGCAGCUUACCGAGGUACAACUGACGCUGAUGCACGAAAGUGUGGGUAUCAAACA